AUUGAACGCUGGCGGCAUGCCUUACACAUGCAAGUCGAACGGUAACAGGUUAAGCUGACGAGUGGCGAACGGGUGAGUAAUGUAUCGGAACGUGCCCAGUCGUGGGGGAUAACUGCUCGAAAGAGCAGCUAAUACAGCAUACGACCUGAGGGUGAAAGCGGGGGAUCGCAAGACCUCGCGCGAUUGGAGCGGCCGAUAUCAGAUUAGGUAGUUGGUGAGGUAAAGGCUCACCAAGCCGACGAUCUGUAGCUGGUCUGAGAGGACGACCAGCCACACUGGGACUGAGACACGGCCCAGACUCCUACGGGAGGCAGCAGUGGGGAAUUUUGGACAAUGGGCGCAAGCCUGAUCCAGCCAUGCCGCGUGCGGGAAGAAGGCCUUCGGGUUGUAAACCGCUUUUGUCAGGGAAGAAAAGGUUCUGGCUAAUACCUGGGACUCAUGACGGUACCUGAAGAAUAAGCACCGGCUAACUACGUG
Molecule: ribosomal RNA, 477 nt
Filed under: uncultured bacterium
Lineage: Bacteria
Description: partial 16S ribosomal RNA
Rfam family: Bacterial small subunit ribosomal RNA
Source: RNAcentral